This is a long non-coding RNA of Carassius gibelio (silver crucian carp), 1457 nucleotides long. RefSeq lists it as uncharacterized. The record is from RefSeq and is a predicted model, not a curated record. NCBI's taxonomy places the organism in Eukaryota, Metazoa, Chordata, Actinopteri, Cypriniformes, Cyprinidae. The transcript has 4 exons.
AAGCAUGGUCAAGCGCCCCUAGCGUCACUUUUAUGACGCCAAAUGUGCCUCUCGGCGUCGACUAUCGAAGCACUACGACCUUCAUUGCUUUCAGUGGGAAACUUUUGGCGUCAGAAUUCGACACGAGGACAUGAGAUGUUUAUCGCUAUGAAAUCACGUUCAAGAAGUCUCAUUCAGCACACAUCGCGCGAUACUUGCUAUCAGUUCAACAGUUUGGCUGAAAAGACGUAAAGGCAGUCAGCCCAGUGGUGUUUCUGGAGAGGGAUUCCUUCAGAAAUGGAGAAGACCGAAAGCUGCGGAGGCAGAUAUUUGCAGCAUGUUCGAGUGAGCAUGAUGACCACAAGUGUGUGUCAAACUUUUCAUGACCUGAUGACUGUGUUUCCCAAUCCUGAUCCUGGAGAACCCCAGCACUGCACGGUUUUGGCGUCUCUCUUAUCUGCCUUGGAGUCUUCACUGAUGAGCUGAUGAGUUGAAUCAGGAUUGUUUGAGGAUAACACUGCAGUUCUCCAUCAUGCACAAGGACUCACCUCGUUAACUCUUUAUCCCCCACACACACAGAUAUGGUCCCUGGAUCAGUGAUUAAACUUUGCAGUGGUUUGAUUUUUGCAGAAGAUGUAACUUUGUUUUAUUUAUAAGCUCAUAAUGAAUACAUUACAGAACCAGUGAUGAAAACAAUAGUUAAAAAUAGUAUUUUUCGUAUUGAUAAAGCAUUUUGUUCUCUUUUUCAAGCUUCAUACAGUGAACUUUUUAGACUUUAAUUAAGAGUUUUAGUAAAGGAGAUAUUCAUACACAGUCAUCCCCUAGCUCCAGUCAUGAAGUGAAAUCAUGAUGUUAUUGUCAAAGCUAGCAGGUGUUUGUUUUCCUGAACACUUUCUCUGUCUUCCAUUGUUCAGACAAUCAGUGUUUAUUUGAUGCUGUGCUGAUUGAGUUUUAUAGAUGAUAUUGCACACUUGACAUGCAUGUAUUCAUGGUGUUUUUUUGUGAGUUUGAAACAUUUACAUUGUGUUGUAUAACAUUUUGGUCAAUUUAAUUUUUUUAAUAAAAUUGAUCUUUUUCCAGUGUUCUCUGAAAGACAUACUGUAUUUACUGUUUUGUUUUUUAAUAAAAGCAUUUUCAUUUGCAUACUGAAAAUAGUUAAUGUUUACAACAUAACUGCCUUUUUAUUCUUUAUGGUGGCAAAAACGAGCUUGGUGACAGAGGAUGCAGUGUAGUAAUUUGGGCAUGUUGUCUUUAAAUGAGUUUGACAUAUCAAUAAAUAUUGGAAGAUCCUUACAAAAAUAUGCAUGUUUAUUAUGCUUUAUGUAAUUAUUUGUUCAUUCAUUCAUUCAUUAAUUUAUAAUUUCUGUUUUUAUUCCUAGGGUUCAAAUGGUAGAGAAUGGUAAAUCACAGAAACACAAAUGUGAACAAUUUUAACUUUAAAACACAAUGUAAUAUACAAUGUAAAUUUUAGAAGCACG